AUUUAACGCGGCGGAAUGCUUUACACAUGCAAGUCGAACGGCAGCACGGAGAGCUUGCUCUCUGGUGGCGAGUGGCGAACGGGUGAGUAAUAUAUCGGAACGUAUCCAAUAAUGGGGGAUAACGAGUCGAAAGAUUCGCUAAUACCGCAUACGCCCUACGGGGGAAAGCAGGGGAUCGUAAGACCUUGCGUUAAUGGAGCGGCCGAUAUCUGAUUAGCUUGUUGGUGAGGUAAAGGCUCACCAAGGCGACGAUCAGUAGCUGGUUUGAGAGAACGACCAGCCACACUGGAACUGAGACACGGUCCAGACUCCUACGGGAGGCAGCAGUGGGGAAUUUUGGACAAUGGGGGCAACCCUGAUCCAGCCAUUCCGCGUGAGUGAAGAAGGCCUUCGGGUUGUAAAGCUCUUUCGCAAGGGAAGAAAACUUAUGAUCGAAUAAAUCAUGAGGUUGACGGUACCUUGAUAAGAAGCACCGGCUAACUACGUGCCAGCAGCCGCGGUAAUACGUAGGGUGCGAGCGUUAAUCGGAAUUACUGGGCGUAAAGCGUGCGCAGGCGGUUUUGUAAGUCGGAUGUGAAAUCCCCGGGCUCAACCUGGGAACUGCGUUCGAAACUGCAAGGCUAGAGUGUGUCAGAGGGGGGUAGAAUUCCACGUGUAGCAGUGAAAUGCGUAGAGAUGUGGAGGAAUACCAAUGGCGAAGGCAGCCCCCUGGGAUAACAC
Molecule: ribosomal RNA, 720 nt
Filed under: uncultured bacterium
Lineage: Bacteria
Description: bacterial SSU rRNA
Rfam family: Bacterial small subunit ribosomal RNA
Source: RNAcentral